GAAACGGUGUCUUUAGACACCACCAAUCUUCCUUGAAGUUUAUUA
Picea glauca (white spruce) is the source of this 45-nucleotide non-coding RNA. The record is from Rfam. Lineage: Eukaryota; Viridiplantae; Streptophyta; Pinopsida; Pinales; Pinaceae.